RNAcentral lists this ribosomal RNA (454 nucleotides) under uncultured bacterium. Its description in RNAcentral is "partial 16S ribosomal RNA". It matches the Rfam family "Bacterial small subunit ribosomal RNA", at positions 28 to 507 of the family's 1533-position model. The record is from RNAcentral.
GAUGAACGCUGACAGAAUGCUUAACACAUGCAAGUCAACUUGAACUUCGGUUUGUGUGGCGGACGGGUGAGUAACGCGUACAGAACUUGCCUCACAGCUAGGGACAACAUUUGGAAACGAAUGCUAAUAACUGAUAUUAUGAUUAUAUGGCAUCGUAUAAUUAUGAAAGCUAUAUGCGCUGUUAGAGAGCUUUGCGUUACAUUAGCUAGUUGGAGAGGUAACAGCUCACCAAGGCGAUGAUGGGUAGCCGGCCUGGGAGGGUGAUCGGCCACAAGGGGACGAGGACAGGGCCCGUACGCCUACGGGAGGCAGGAGUGGGAAAUAUUGGGAAAUGGACCGAGCGUCUGAUCGAGCAAUUCUGUGUGCACGAUGAAGUUUUUCGGAAUGAAAAGUGCUGUCAGUUGGGAAGAAAAAAAUGACGGUACCAACAGAAGAAGUGACGGCUAAAUACGUG